UGUGGGGACACAGAACCGAAGGAGAACCCGGGAAUGAAAAGACCGGGGCAAGCAGAGGACUGGUUAAGUCGGCAAAACCGCUUAGCAACAGGAGACUGUGACGCGUACCGAACAGAAGUAGGGAAGUUUCCGUAGGGGCUGUCAAGAAAAGCCGCUAUUGUGUGAUAUGUGCCCGUACCGUAAACCGACACAGGUAGAUGAGGAGAGAAUCCUAAGGCCGGCGGGAGAAGCAUUGUUAAGGAACUCGGCAAAAUGACCCUGUAACUUCGGGAGAAAGGGUGCCUGGGAAACCAGGCCGCAGAGAAUAGGCUCAAGCAACUGUUUAGCAAAAACACAGGUCUAUGCGAAACCGAAAGGUGAGGUAUAUGGGCUGACGCCUGCCCGGUGCUGGAAGGUUACGAGGAGAGGUUAGCUUAUGCGAAGCUUUGAAUCUAAGCCCCAGUAAACGGCGGCCGUAACUAUAACGGUCCUAAGGUAGCGAAAUUCCUUGUCGGGUAAGUUCCGACCCGCACGAAAGGCGUAAUGAUUUGAGCGCUGUCUCGACAAUGCACCCGGUGAAAUUGAAAUACCAGUGAAGAUGCUGGUUACCUGCGCCAGGACGGAAAGACCCCAUGGAGCUUUACUCUAGCUUGAUACUGGGAUUCGGUACUGCAUGUACAGGAUAGGUGGGAGACGAGGAAUAGAGGACGCCAGUUUUCUAGGAGUCGCUGUUGGGAUACCACCCUUGUGG
RNAcentral lists this ribosomal RNA (730 nucleotides) under gut metagenome. RNAcentral's name for it is "bacterial LSU rRNA". It matches the Rfam family "Bacterial large subunit ribosomal RNA", at positions 1465 to 2211 of the family's 2925-position model. The record is from RNAcentral.